GACGCGAAGAAACGACGAUGGAUAUUCGAAAGAUGUGGGAAAUAUAAUAGCCGCCCCUUUUAAUCUCGUGUCUGUGAUAUAAAUAGGCAAACCAUGAAAGAAAAUAAAAUGAAGAAUCGUAUAUAGUUUUAGUUAUGUACGUGGCUCUUCUUUGUGUGCGGCACAGUUUGAAAAAUCGUUUCAAAACUGUUGUUUUUUUGGACGACACGUCGUUGAAAUUCUCUCCGUCACUUCUCCUAUUCCCUUGUCCGCCAUAGCCAGUGCUCUUCUGUAUCGUAUCGUAAAACACUCG
Molecule: non-coding RNA, 292 nt
Organism: Cinara cedri
Lineage: Eukaryota; Metazoa; Arthropoda; Insecta; Hemiptera; Aphididae
Source: the annotation of a GenBank genome assembly